Molecule: long non-coding RNA, 555 nt
Organism: Mytilus californianus (California mussel)
Lineage: Eukaryota; Metazoa; Mollusca; Bivalvia; Mytilida; Mytilidae
Exons: 3
Source: RefSeq, a predicted model, not a curated record
UGUAUAAUACCUUAAUUCAGGAGCACAGUCUCUCUUUACCGUAAAUAACUUCGAGAUUAAUAUGUAAGUUUACUUUGCUAAUCGAUGUUCCUGUAAUUCAGAUUUAUAUUUAUUUGUGAGACCCCCGUCACUAUUUAUAUUCACUCAAAGAAAGGGGUUCUCCGUUACUGGGAAAAUCUUAUCUGAUUCAGGAUCAAUUUAUCGGUUACACUCCCCUAUCACCAGUGAUUCUUUGUUGUAAGCUGACAUUCUGAAAAAAGGUAUACUGUUGACUAUCAAUUUGCACGAUUAGUUACAGAUGUCGACUCGGACUACUGCAAAAGACAAUAAUUCAGUUCACUGAUUUAGAUUGAAUAGUGGUUCGGUUAAUCCCCUCUUCCCCAAACAAGGCAAGGACAUUAAAGAUAAAGGGAAACUAUAAACAAAAGAAAUUAUCAACAAAAAUAGAUUUACAGACGUCAACAAAGCCUAAAUGGUCAGACAUCUUGGUUUUCAUGAUCAUCAUUCAACAAGUCAAUACUGAACAGAAAACUUAAAGUUGAUAUUUUUCUUCAU